This is a microRNA precursor of Xenopus tropicalis (tropical clawed frog), 83 nucleotides long. Ensembl annotates it as xtr-mir-217. Its record names the gene xtr-mir-217. The record is from Ensembl. Lineage: Eukaryota; Metazoa; Chordata; Amphibia; Anura; Pipidae.
UUGAUGUUGUAGAUACUGCAUCAGGAACUGAUUGGAUCCCAGGGAGCAGCCAUCAGUUCCUAAUGCACUGCCUUCGGCAUCUA